This 495-nucleotide ribosomal RNA is filed under the name uncultured bacterium. Its description in RNAcentral is "bacterial SSU rRNA". It matches the Rfam family "Bacterial small subunit ribosomal RNA", at positions 28 to 513 of the family's 1533-position model. The record is from RNAcentral.
GACGAACGCUGGCGGCGUGGAUUAGGCAUGCAAGUCGAACGGUAUCAUCCUUUCGGGGAUGAGAGAGUGGCGAACGGGUGAGUAACACGUAGGUGAUCUACCCUCAAGACGGGGACAACCCAGGGAAACUUGGGCUAAUACCGGAUGUGAGCUAUCGCGAGAUAGUUUGAAAGGUGGCUUCGGCUGCCGCUUGGGGAUGAGCCUGCGUCCUAUUAGCUAGUUGGUGAGGUAACGGCUCACCGAGGCAGUGAUAGGUAGGCGGCCUUAACGGGUGGUCGCCCACACUGGGAUUGAGAUACGGCCCAGACUCCUACGGGAGGCAGCAGUCGAGAAUAGUCUACAAUGGUCGAAAGACUGAUAGUGCGACGCCGCGUGAACGAAGAAGCCCUUCGGGGUGUAAAGUUCUUUUAUAUGUGAGCAGUGACAUCUAUAUUAAUAGUAUGGGGAGAGAGAUAUUAGCAUAUGAAUAAGCAACGGCUAAACUCCGUGCCAGCA